Molecule: long non-coding RNA, 1730 nt
Organism: Harpia harpyja (harpy eagle)
Lineage: Eukaryota; Metazoa; Chordata; Aves; Accipitriformes; Accipitridae
Exons: 4
Source: RefSeq, a predicted model, not a curated record
GGGGGUGUUAUGUUUGCGAUCUCUGCCUUGGUACCUAAGGAGGAAGAGGAGGAGGAGGGUGUGUUAUUGAAUGGUGGCUAAAGCCUCCUCGGGACGGCGCUGAGGUGAAACAGGCUGAACCCGACUGAUGUGGCUCCUCUCUCGGUUGGACCCAGUGCCCUAAGCAGCCGAGGAGAGACCCCCGGCCGCCCGGCUCGCAGGUUACACGCACGACGCGAACAGAAUGGGCCCGAUCCUGCCAGUCCCUUCUUGAGAAGUCUUCAUAAAUUAUUAAAUCACACCUGAUCCAGUUAAUAAUGAAGUUAACUACCAUCAGGUACGUUUUUAAUGCUGAAAUGGGCAUACUAAUUGUGAACUGUGUGGUAAGAAGCUCCUUCUAAAAUAUGCAGUAACUUAUUUACUGGAAUUUAACAGGCUGUGUACUUUAAAGCUUCUCUUGCCUGUAAUCACAUGAACAAACCUUGCAAGUCAUAUUGCCAGCUUGAGAUUCGGCACAGUAACAGCAGCGCUGAUGCAGCCCCUGCCGUUAGGCAAGGUACAGAAAGGAACUGGUGACCUGCGACGGGACAAGAGACCUCGCUUACCAGGAUUUGCUCACGGUUAUGCUUCUGGCAACUGACAUUUCCAUUUUACUCAAAGCUUCUACAUCUGUGUCAUCAGACAAAGCCCCAUGAGUGGUGGCAGAGCAAACUAUAGCCUUCAUUUUCAAGUUUGAAGAGAAAAAAUUAUUUACAUGUCUAAAUCCUGGAACCUGAUGUUCAGAGAUCAUUCUUUGUUACUUGCUGCUUUCAACCAUUAAGGUUUCCAAAAGCUCUAUAACAAAAUGGGACAUAGUUUGGGGUAGAAAACUCUUAUUGUUUUCAUUUUGUUUAGGUUUUUUUUAUCAUAUCAUCUGAUUUUUUUCCUACCAGAGGAACAUGGAAGUUGGGAUGUUUCUGUCAUUGCUUACAAUGAAUGACUGCUUAAAGGGACUGUCAGAGAUUGUAAGACAAAUCUUUGCCCCUCCUUAAGAUUGUUAUAAACUGAAGGAGAAUGUCUUUUAAUUUGUUAGGACUUCAGAGUUUAUUUUGUAAGGAGAAUUAUUGAUUCAUGCAAUGACUGCUCCUUUACUGUUUUAUCACACUUCCAACUCAGUAUUUUUGUAUUCUUUUGGUUAUGAAUUUAGGCAAAUGUUUAACUACGUGUUUUAAUGUUGCAGGGGUUUUUUGUUGUUGUUUUAGACAUGUUUUCCUGAAUCAGACCCUUGAAUUUAGUGACAAUUAGUACAAUUUCUGGAAAUGUAUUGUCAUCAGUAAGAGUGCUGUGUACCAAGACGUGUGAACGUAGAUGUUAGGGGGGAGCACAAGUAAUUACUUUUUUCCAUUCACAGAGGGAGCAUUAAGAAGUCAAGGUUAUUCAACAGAAGUGAAUAAAUGCAGCCUGAAAAGUUAUUUACUUUCCAAACUGCAAGAGGAUCUCAGAGACAAUAAGGAUAACAUAAAAACAAAAAUCUAAAGAAAUUCCUUAAUCUUCCUAAAAAAUAAUUGGAACUGAAAAAAAAAAAAAAAAGGAAAGCAUUUCAUAAUGAAGAGAAUCUUCAGGCAGGGAAAAAAAAGAGUUGUCUGACACAGUGUUUAGGGUAGAUUGAAGGAAUUGUUCCAGGGGCUGUUCUUUGCUGGUAUUGCAGAAGUGUGUGGGGCAUUUAAUCUGUUUUAGUUGCUCUAUCUGUAAAUAGAAGAUGAUAAUGCUCA